AUACGGAGGAUCCGAGCGUUAUCCGGAUUUAUUGGGUUUAAAGGGUACGUAGGCGGGGCGUAUAAGUCAGCGGUGAAAUUUUGCAGCUUAACUGCAAGCUUGCCGUUGAAACUAUCGUUCUUGAGUGUAGAUGAGGUAGGCGGAAUGUGUUGUGUAGCGGUGAAAUGCAUAGAUAUAACACAGAACCCCGGUUGCGAAGGCAGCUUACCGGGUUAUCACUGACGCUGAGGUACGACAGCGUGGGGAUCAAACAGGAUUAGAUACCCUGGUAGUCCACGCCGUAAACGAUGAAUACUCGCUGUUUGCGAUAUACGGCAAGCGGCCAAGCGAAAGCAUUAAGUAUUCCACCUGGGGAGUACGUUCGCAAGAAUGAA
Molecule: ribosomal RNA, 374 nt
Filed under: uncultured bacterium
Lineage: Bacteria
Description: bacterial SSU rRNA
Rfam family: Bacterial small subunit ribosomal RNA
Source: RNAcentral